UGUCUCAAAGAUUAAGCCAUGCAUGUCUGAGUAUAAGCCAUUAUACGGCGAAACUGCGAAUGGCUCAUUAUAUAAGUUAUUGUUUAUUUGAUAGUACCUUGCCUACUUGGAUAACCGUGGCAAUUCUAGAGCUAAUACAUGCGGAAGCUGCCGACUUCGGGAGGCGCGUAUUUAUUAGAUUAAAAGCCAAUGCCCCCCGGGGCUCACUGGUGAUUCAUGAUAACUCCUCGAAUCGCACGGCCUUGCGCCGGCGAUGGUUCAUUCAAAUUUCUUCCCUAUCAACUUUCGAUGUUUGGGUAGUGGCCAAACAUGGUGACAACGGGUAACGGAGGGUCAUCGCUCGACCCCGGAGAAGGAGCCUGAGAGACGGCUACUACAUCCAAGGAAGGCAGCAGGCGCGCAAAUUACCCAAUCCCGACGCGGGGAGGUAGUGACAAUAAAUACUGAUACAGGGCCCUUUCGGGUCUUGUAAUUGGAAUGAGUACAACCUAAAUCCCUUAACGAGGAACAAUUGAAGGGCAAGUCUGGUGCCAGCAGCCGCGGUAAUUCCAGCUUCAAUAGCGUAUCUGCAUGAUGUUGUGGUUAAAAAGCUCGUAGUUGAACCUUGGGCCUGGCGGGCUGGUCCGCCUCACCGCGUGCACUAGUCCCGCCGGGCCUUUCCCUCUGCGGAACCCCAUGCCCUUCGCUGGGCGUGGCGGGGAAACAGGACGUUUACCGUGAAAAAAUUAGAGUGCUCCAGGCAGGCUUAUGCUCGAAUACAUUAGCAUGGAAUAAUGAAAUAGGACGCGCGGUUCUAUUUUGUUGGUUUCAGGGACCGCCGUAAUGAUUAAUAGGGACAGUCGGGGGCAUCAGUAUUCAAUUGUCAGAGGUGAAAUUCUUGGAUUUAUUGAAGACUAACUACUGCGAAAGCAUCUGCCAAGGAUGUUUUCAUUAAUCAGGAACGAAAGUUAGGGGAUCGAAGACGAUCAGAUACCGUCGUAGUCUUAACCAUAAACUAUGCCGACUAGGGAUCGGACGAUGUUUUUACUUGACUCGUUCGGCACCUUACGAGAAAUCAAAGUGCUUGGGCUCCAGGGGGAG
RNAcentral lists this ribosomal RNA (1080 nucleotides) under Hypocrella schizostachyi. Its description in RNAcentral is "SSU rRNA". It matches the Rfam family "Eukaryotic small subunit ribosomal RNA", at positions 33 to 1123 of the family's 1831-position model. The record is from RNAcentral. Lineage: Eukaryota; Fungi; Ascomycota; Sordariomycetes; Hypocreales; Clavicipitaceae.